CCGAACGGGAAUUACUUUAUUGAAACUUCGGUCGAUUUAAUUUAAUUCUACCGUCGGACGGGUGAGUAACGCGUGGGUAACCUGCCUUAUACAGGGGGAUAACAGUCAGAAAUGGCUGCUAAUACCGCAUAAGCGCACAGAGCUGCAUGGCUCGGUGUGAAAAACUCCGGUGGUAUAAGAUGGACCCGCGUUGGAUUAGCUUGUUGGUGGGGUAACGGCCCACCAAGGCGACGAUCCAUAGCCGGCCUGAGAGGGUGAACGGCCACAUUGGGACUGAGACACGGCCCAGACUCCUACGGGAGGCAGCAGUGGGGAAUAUUGCACAAUGGGGGAAACCCUGAUGCAGCGACGCCGCGUGAAGGAAGAAGUAUCUCGGUAUGUAAACUUCUAUCAGCAGGGAAGAUAGUGACGGUACCUGACUAAGAAGCCCCGGCUAACUACGUGCCAGCAGCCGCGGUAAUACGUAGGGGGCAAGCGUUAUCCGGAUUUACUGGGUGUAAAGGGAGCGUAGACGGUGUGGCAAGUCUGAUGUGAAAGGCAUGGGCUCAACCUGUGGACUGCAUUGGAAACUGUCAUACUUGAGUGCCGGAGGGGUAAGCGGAAUUCCUAGUGUAGCGGUGAAAUGCGUAGAUAUUAGGAGGAACACCAGUGGCGAAGGCGGCUUACUGGACGGUAACUGACGUUGAGGCUCGAAAGCGUGGGGAGCAAACAGGAUUAGAUACCCCGGUAGUCCACGCCGUAAACGAUGAAUACUAGGUGUCGGGUGGCAGAGCCAUUCGGUGCCGUCGCAAACGCAGUAAGUAU
This 804-nucleotide ribosomal RNA is filed under the name uncultured bacterium. RNAcentral's name for it is "bacterial SSU rRNA". It matches the Rfam family "Bacterial small subunit ribosomal RNA", at positions 62 to 867 of the family's 1533-position model. The record is from RNAcentral.